UCCCUGGUGGCUCAGCUGGUAAAGAAUACACCUGCAAUGUGGGAGAUCUGGGUUCAAUUCCUGGCUUGGGAA
Molecule: transfer RNA, 72 nt
Filed under: Capra hircus (goat)
Lineage: Eukaryota; Metazoa; Chordata; Mammalia; Artiodactyla; Bovidae
Also listed under: 1 other name
Rfam family: tRNA
About the family: Transfer RNA (tRNA) molecules are approximately 80 nucleotides in length. Their secondary structure includes four short double-helical elements and three loops (D, anti-codon, and T loops). Further hydrogen bonds mediate the characteristic L-shaped molecular structure. tRNAs have two regions of fundamental functional importance: the anti-codon, which is responsible for specific mRNA codon recognition, and the 3' end, to which the tRNAs corresponding amino acid is attached (by aminoacyl-tRNA synthetases). tRNAs cope with the degeneracy of the genetic code in two manners: having more than one tRNA (with a specific anti-codon) for a particular amino acid; and 'wobble' base-pairing, i.e. permitting non-standard base-pairing at the 3rd anti-codon position.
Source: Rfam by way of RNAcentral